Small nucleolar RNA from Dipodomys ordii (Ord's kangaroo rat), 79 nucleotides. Its record names the gene SNORD26. It matches the Rfam family "Small nucleolar RNA SNORD26". Rfam says of the family: U26 is a member of the C/D class of snoRNA which contain the C (UGAUGA) and D (CUGA) box motifs. U26 is encoded within the U22 snoRNA host gene (UHG) in mammals and is thought to act as a 2'-O-ribose methylation guide for ribosomal RNA. The record is from Ensembl. NCBI's taxonomy places the organism in Eukaryota, Metazoa, Chordata, Mammalia, Rodentia, Heteromyidae.
CUACGUUGAUGAUUUUUUUUAGUUGAACUCUCUCUUUCUGAUGGCUCGGUGGAGAAAGGACGAAGAUAUCCUGAGUAGC